Molecule: long non-coding RNA, 8528 nt
Organism: Cavia porcellus (domestic guinea pig)
Lineage: Eukaryota; Metazoa; Chordata; Mammalia; Rodentia; Caviidae
Exons: 4
Source: RefSeq, a predicted model, not a curated record
GCCGGUCACAUGACUGAGGCUGUUGCUGGGAUGACGGUCGGGCCUUAGCAACAAGGGAGGGGGGACCUCGAGAAGGUGGAAGCGGGUGCAGACCCAGGAAGAGGGAAGGAGGGAGGACAGCACCCCCUUUCCUUCGCAGAGUGUUAUCUUCUGUGACCCUCAUAACCUGCCCCUGAGAUGGAGUCCUCUAGUGUCCCAGGAAGCCAGACAUAAGGAAAAACUGACACUUAUUUUAAGUGAAAAGGAGAGGAAUGGGAUAGGGGAAAGAAAAGAAAGGGAUCUUCUCAGGACAAAGUGGCACAGAAGUACCACUGGUAAGUACAAAAUGGUAAGUGAUACAUCAAAUUCUUCUAUUAAUUAAAACACGUAAGUAUGCAGAGGACUCCCAUCUCCCUUUUUUUCCUUCAAAUUCCUACUUUUUGAAAACAUCAUACAAAGUGCUUCUGGGGGAGAUACAGAAGGGUUUUGAGGGUAGAAAAGCAAUAGAGAAUCUGUUUUGGCAGCCGAAUAUGUACAUAGGGAGGAGAAGGAAAGGUUGGGCAGGGGAGAAGCUUGACCUGGUGGUAGUUGGAGAGGUUGCUAUGCAUGUCAGCAAUGUCCUCACUGGAUACUUCUUUGAUGACCAGAGUCCGAUCAUAGGAGAUGAGAAAGCGACCAUCACUGCCUUCACUUUCACUUGGGGGGCUUCGGGUAAGGGACACCUAAAAACAAAGUACAAGUUACAAGUUUUUUUCCAUUUGCAUGGAGAAAUAAGUCAUAGGUUAAUGGCUAACAAAAUGCUUCUAAAACCAUAUGAAAUCUUGGGUAAAAGAUUCAGCAGGCAUUAAUCUGUUGUUCACAUAUGGAUCAAAUGAAAUUCAAAGCAAAGUUUUUUUUCCUUGUUGUUUGUGUACUAAGGACUGAACCUAGGAUCUUAUACAUGCUAGGUAAUUACCACUGAGCUACAUCCCUGGCCCUUUGUACUUUUUUGAUAAGAGGCUUGCUAAACUUCCCAGGAUGACCUUGAAUUUGUGAUCCUCCUGCCUCAGCCUUCCAAAUAGCUGAGAUUAUAGGCAUUGUCACUGCAUCUAGCAAAUGCAAAAUUCUUUAUGUGCCUGUAUUUUUUCCCCAAGGAUGUCUUUAGAUUAGUUUCAUUAGCUUUCAUCAGGUGUUUUGUUUUGUACCGGGGAUCAAACUCAUGACUUUGCAUUUGCCAAGCAGGCACUUAUGCCACUGAGCUAAACCUCCAGCUUUCAUUAGUUUUUUGUUUUUGUUUUUCUUCCAAUACCAGGAACUGAACCCAAGACCUGUGUGUGCCAGGCAAGUGCCGUAUCACUGAGCUACAUUCCCAGCCAUCCUUAGAUUUUUGAAGAUGACUUUGACCAGAAAACAAUAAAGAAUCAUAUUCAUUGAGGCUUUUGUUUCUCUAAAAAUGACUAUCCCAAGGACUCCCAAAUUGCUAGGGAUUAUCUUAUCCCAUAACAGACUCUCACCAAGUAAUCCUGGUCAUCAAUGCCAAAUCUAUCACGGAGAUUCCUGAAGACCUGGGGACAAUAUUCCUUGAACUUGAAAUGACUGGGUAGAUUUUCUCUGAAAUACAGGUUUUCAUGGUGAAACAACAAAAUAACAAUAUUACCUUUCACUUACAUAGGACUUGACAAGCACCUUUAUAUAUUACCUCAUUUGAUUCUCAUAAAACCUGUGAGGUACUUUUAAAGGUAUUUUAUAGAAGGAAAGCCAGGUUUCAGGGUGACUGAGUGACCUGCCUAAGUUACAUGGCUGGAAAGCAGUGUAACAAGUAUCAUUUCCCAAAUCCUAAGCAAGUUAGAGACAUUCUAAGGUUAGCUAUAGGUACUUGAGUUAUUUAAAUGGCAUCUUCUGGUAUAAGAGGGGCUUAGAAGACUAAAGUACUUCUUUCACAGACUCUUUAACAGUAAUAAUAGUAAUGGCAUGUGAAUCUAUUCACUCUAUGGAAUUGCCAGGCUAGAGGAGAGGUAGCACACACAAGGUUCAGACAAUAUUAGGAAUUAUUUUACUUUCUUUGCACAAACCUCUCUAUAUUGGGAAGGAUGUUGGAUCAUAUAUUUAUAAAAUGACUUUAAAAUCUAAAACUUUUAACUCAUGAACUCUUUUAAAAUUACUUAUUAUUCUUUGUCUAGAAGGUUGCCAUGAAAUAGACAAGGAUUCCCCACUUACCUAUGGAAAAGGUGAUUGUUGACCUUGAUCUUGGAGCUAGCCUUGAAGUCAUCUGGCAGAAGCAUGACUGGGGGAGGCACCUGGCUGAGCUCAUUGAUCUGAUAGUCAAAACAUGAAAAAGGAGGCAUUAGGAGUGUGGAGAGAUACUUACUUAUACAAUGUGUCUGGUCAGGAGUCAGAAAAGGGCAACUCAAACCUCAUUCCUUUAAAAACACUGGACAUGCAUAUGUCUCAAGUCAGAGACUGUGUCUAAACAUCUCAGCUGCCCAAAGAUUGCUGUAAGCAAUCCUCACACUCCCACCCCCAUGGAACUUCAUGCUCUCAACAGUAAUUUUAUAUUAGGCAAACUCUGUAAGCAACUCAGAAUUAUUUUUAAACCUGAAAUUCUACAAACCUAGAAAUUCUAGAAAAAAGGCACCCAAAACACCCCACAAAAACAACCCCCCCCAAACAAAACAAAACCCCUCUGGAGACUCAAGACAGUUACUUGCUCAAUUUAAAAAAAAUGUUUUUAAGUGCACAGAGUUAAUGGGACUCAGAAGGGUCGAAACCAGCAUGAAGAUGAAAUACCUAUAUCCUCUAAGAAGUAUCUCUUAGAGGUACUGACAAUCCUUCCAGACCAUUCUGAAGGAGGCACCCACAAACCUAGGUGUAAAGUGAGAGAACAGCUGAUCUCAGAGGGAAUGCAGGUCAUCAGAGGACAAGAGCUCAUUAGGUGACUGUUUCCUAAAGUGAAGCCAGUCUACAGCCCAAAGGACACAAGCAUCACAUAUUCUCAGCCUCAGGAUCUGUAGCCUACUGAUUCAGGGUGGUAGAAAGGGGGCUUCUGUAUUUAGGAAUCUCAAGGAACUGUCCUUUCUCCUUGGUGUUGCUAGAUUACCUCUCACCUGCCUUUACAGUGCAUGAUGGGAACAGGGAUAUAGCUCAGCAGCACAGCACCUGCUUGGUAAGCACGAGGUUGUACAUUCAAUUCCCAGUACCAAAAACAAAAAAGCACAAAGUUGUGAGCUCAAUUCCCAGUACCAAACACACAGACACACAACCAGUGCAUGAUGUACCACAUGAUUCUAACCACCCAGUUUAUGUAAGUCCCACCACCCUGCCCCCAGAUUGUCAGCUCCAAAGAUAAGUGCUCAUCCUAUUCUUUAUAUUUGCCUAGUUAGCACAAUGUCUAGCACGCAAAGAUCCUGAAAUGUUUAUUAACUUAAUAAAUGUCUUGCCUAUCUUUACUUGAUAAUUUGAAAAGGUUAAGAAUUGCAGAGUAACCUAAAUUCCAAACACUGCAGUGCAUGCAACACCCCCCACCCCCGUUCUCGUGGAAAAAAGAGGACAGAACAUAUUUCUCCAGGCAAAAAAAAAGCCACUUGAGAUUCCCAGCCUAAAAUUCAGCUACAGCUCUUCUUGCCCCCUCCUUACCACCUGCUAAGUAGGCUGAAUCAUCACUAAGGCAUAUGUUGAAGGAAUUUCUCCAUUCCAGACACUGAAGUAGAUACGUGUUGGCUGAACGGUGGGCUGAUGGAGCUAAAGUAUAUAUUCCUAAAGAAGCUGAAGCAAGUCUUACAUGGAAUCCUCCAAUCCUUACCAAGGUUCCUCCAGCUGGAGACGAAUCCCGGCCAGUCUCCGUAGCCUGGGGCUGGAAGAAGUCAAGACCAGGGGCCUAGACUUCAGGUAAGGAAGACACUACUCUAUUAGGGCUGACUGGGAGACAAUAAGUUCACAACCAGAAGACAGUCUGGAGGAACCCCUGGGGACGGGUGGGUGGCAACGCGAGGGAAUCCGGACGCGGGAGCCUGGAAACCUGGAGCCCCAAAGCGCAGAAGCUGAGGGUUGAGGAUCGGGUUGACAGGGGCUAGGGCUAGUACUCACCGAGUGGGCUACGCCCCACAGGAACACACCCACCAGCGGGUCGGCUGCCCGGAACACCUUCACCUUCUGUUGCACGAAAUGCUUCUUCUUGGUUUUGGAGGCGAAGCCGAAACCCGGGCCGGGGCCCGCUGUUGCCGCGGGUGCGCUGGCUGGCGGGACCGAGGACGCCAUAGUCUCCCGCGCACCCGACUGAGUGGAAGCGGGAGCCGGUCGCGAUUCAGGCGCCUGACCCCGGAAGCGGUGCUCACCUGCGCCGCCGUCACGUGACCGGAGGCUGGCCCACAGGCCUGCGGCGAGGGCGGGGCAAAGAUGGCUCCGCCCCCGACGCCAGCCCGCCUGGCCGCCCGCGCAGUAGGUGGGCUCACCUGGAGCGGAGAAACCAAGUGUUGGGGGCGGUGCGCGGCUACCUUGAUUGAGUCCCUAGCGGGUCAUCUAGGGUCACAGGAGCGCUCUGGCUGGCAUGGAUAAUACCUGGCCAGGAGGUCGGGAUUUUCGCUGCCAAGUAACCCUCUUCUGGAUCUGCCGUACUUUUAAGAGUAACCUGCACCCUAGGCUAACGCAAAGCUUUUCUUUACCGAGUAAAGAUCUGGGAGAGGCAGGCACAAGAAAUCCUAAAUUCUAGUGGUUUUUGGAGACCUUGAAGUCACUAUGUAGCCCAGGCUGGUUUCAAACUCGCAGCGAUCCUCCUACCUCAGCCUGCUGAGUGCUGAGAACACAGGCGUGCACCACCAUGCCCGAAGAAAUUCUGCAUUCUUACCUGUGGCCACUAGCAUGUUUAAAUUCGUUCAUUUAUCUAGUCACCAGGUAUCUAUUGAACAUUUACUUGAACCCAGUAUUGCUCCUCAAACUGACUUUUCCUUUGAUUGAAGCUGAGAACAAAUAGUUCCAGCCCUAAAGCAGUUGGGCAGAGAGGGUGGGAGUGUCUAAUGGCCCAGGCUGGCCAAGGAGAAAGUUGCAAUAUUUGAGAUAAAAGCUAUACUGGAGCUGCCUGUGAGGCAGCGAUUAUGACACAGGAAGUAUAGACCAUCAGAAAACCAUUGGAAAAGGUUAGAGACUUAUUGGAAGGGUUGGUGGAAUUCAAGGCCAAGUGUGAGAAGGCUUUCUGUGCAGAGACCAGUGUAAAAAGCCAUUAAGACAAGACAGAACUUGUCUGUUUCUAAAGAUGUUAAUAGUAAAGUAAGCUGGAACUUGAGAACCAGCGGGGGGGAAAAAAACAAGAUGUAAGGUUAGGAAGGGUAAGCACUGGAGAUCUCCUGAAGUGGAUUUAAUCUAGUGAGUAUGCUUUUAGAAGGACCACUUAGGGGUCAUUCUAGAGGGUGACUGGAGUGUUGCAAAAGUUCACAUACAGCAAACUAAAACUGUGGCUGCUGAGUUGAGAGAAAGUGACCUAAAGGUUUAGAUAACUUGGAAGAUACACAGUGCAGUCAGGCAUGAUGGAGCAUUUAUGUAAUCCCAGAACUUGGUGAGCAGGCUGAGGCAGAGGACGGCGAGUUCAAGCCCAUCAUGGACAAUUUAGUGACCUAGUGAGACCCUGUUUGAAAAAUUUUUAAAAGGGGCUGGUCAACAUAAGUCAACAUAGUUCUGUGUGAAGACUCAGUAAGAAAAAAGCAAGUAAACAAGCUGUUCUUAGCAUGUAUGGUUUGCAGGAAAUGCCAGACACUGAGACUGAGUUUCAGGCUUCUGCCUAAAGUGAGAAUGGAGGUAACUUGAAAAGGAGCAUUGUUGGGUAAAAGAUGAGUUCAAUCUGGAACAUGUUUCAGGUGCCUAAGGGCAACUAGACAUAUAGACCCUGAGCUCAGCAGCUAAUCCAGGCUAGAAAUACAGAUUUAAGAAUUGUUCUGAACUCCAUAGGCAUGGAUGACAUACCCAGGAAGAGCAAGGGGAGGACAAAGGGCUGAAUCCAAAGCCAGAGCAGCAUUUAGGAAGCUGGUAGAGAGGAAAGGGGUGGCCAGAGGUUGAGUGGCCACGACCCACACAACCCUUGAGUUUUUUGGGGUGAAGGACUGCAAGAGGAUGAGAAAAUAAAGAGACAAAGCUGGGGUCAGGUAGAGUUCUUAUCCUCCUGAUGGGAAGAAAGGAAUUGGCCCCUCACUGCAGAGGCAUUUAUUUAUACCUUUUAGCAACUUAAUGUCACAGGACACCCUGUUGUCCUAGCAACCCACUGUUUAGAUUGUCUUAGGGCUAGGUGUUCCCGGCUGAAACAGAAGCAGCUUCUCCACGUGGCUUGCCCCAAGCACUCUUUGUUCUUGGGAUUGUCAUGCUCUGGCCUUGCACUUGUGGUCAAUUUCCAACUUCAAGGGCUCCCAACUGUGGCUGGAGAGGAGGGUCCUAAAGCCCCAGGGAGCAGUGCUUCAAGGAAGAGGUGGAGAAUGUGGAGAGAAGACAAGGUUACCUGAUUCUCCUCCAAAGAAGCAGUGUGAGCACAAGAGCCAGGCAAGAGCCAGGCUUGGGUGGGCUCAGGGAUGCAUGAGAGCCGUGGGAGGCUUGGGACUGUUUCUGGAGAUUUUUCAGUAAGAAAACAAAAAAGACCAGGAAGUCAAUUAUUGAGACACACAAAGAAAAGUAGGAGAACUUAUAAGAAGAAAAGGUCAUUGAGACAAAUGUUAAAGAAGAUUUAAACAGAGCCAGGCUGUGGGUGGCUCACGCCUGUAAUCCUAGCACUCAGGAGGCUGAGGCAGGAGGAUGGUUGCAAGUUUGACACCAGCCUGGGCUACAAAAGUGAGCUCAAGGCCAGCCUGAACUGCAUAGCGAGACACCAUCUCAAAAAAAGACAAAAAAAAAAAAAAAGAUUUAAACAAUUUUAUAUAUGUAGUAUCUUUAGUUAUUUUAUGUACCGAGGUUUUACGUAAUUGAUCCCAAGAAUUCAAGACCCAGGGGAUGGCCUGGCAUGGGAGGCCCUGGUUCAAUCCCUAGUAUUGCAGUGGGAGGAGGCGGGAAGACUCUUAUGAGGGAUUCAUUUCAGUCCAGCAAAAUCUUCCUUGUGUGGAGACACAGGCCAAUAUGAAGGGUUGGCAGGAGGGGUGAACUUCAUGCUUGAUCACCCUGAUUUUCCUAAAGUUGUUGUCUGAGAGAGGAAAGCAGGAAGGGGUCUCCAGGAGUGAAGGCUUUUGAACAACUUCUGUAGAAGGCAGGAAAGGAAACUGAGCAGGGAAACAGGAGGAACACAGAGCAGCACUGAAAGGGCUGAGGGGGCUUGCAGCUCUUCAUCUUUAGUUGUCUCGGUUUUUGUUUUGUCGCACAGCUUUCUCCAAGCUUUGAGAGAUGAGGAGAGAAAAUAAGAAUUGGAAGUGUGAUUCCAGAACAAGAAAAUUGAGCUGCUGGCAAGGGAAGGAAAGUGAUGCACUGGCUGGGACUGGGAUGAUGGUCUUAGUAAAAAAUGAACACAAUACUUUUAUUGUUGUUAAAAAUUUCAAACCAUCUAGACAUCCACCAAUAAGGAGUGGUUGGAUGGAAUGGAUAAACAUGAAAACUAUACAUAUUUAAUGAGGUAAAUCAAUCUAUAUUGACAUGAAAAGAUCUCCAGGGAGAGAAAAAGUCUGUGCAAAUAAAUUGCAAAAUAUGUUUUGCAUGGUGGUGUAUACCCAUAAUCCAACCUCUCUGGGAGGCUGAGGCAGAAGGACUACGAGUUACAGCCCACCCUGGGCAAUUUAAUGACUUUGGGAAACUCUGUCUCAAAAUAAAAAGGGCAUGUAGCUGUGUGAAGGCUCUAGGCUCAAUCUCUGAUACUACCAAAAAAAAAAUCAAAUCUUGAAGGAUAUUCAUCACACUAUUAAAUACCAUUACAUGCAAAUAAGGGAGUGAGACUAGGGAGAAAUAAAGAAGAUUUACAACAACAUAAAGGUUAUCAUUGAAUUUAUUUUAUUUUAAAGAUAUCUAUGUACACCAAAUAAAUACACACUGGGGUUUGUGCAGUUUGGUUGGUCUUCCACACUGGCAUGCAACAUUUUGGCAGAUGAGAGUGGGCAAGCCAGGUAUCGCUUAUGGUGGCCCUGGCUCUUACUAUAAGGGAUGUGAUAUAGGAACAGGAAGAGGAGAAUGUAGUGUGAAGCUUCUGGUGAAGGGUGGUGAGUGUAUUGUUUCUUAUUUCUGCAAGUGAGUUACAUUUCCCUUUCAUCUUGCUGAACAGUAGGCCUCUCCUUCUGUGUCACCUCUCUCUUCAUCUGCCCUAUUAUGUGUUCACAUUUUCUUACUCACGAUUUUAAAGAAUCAUUUGGAACUGGGUGAGGGGUGUAUACCUGUAAUGCCACCACUUAGAAGCCUGAGGCAGGAGGAUCACCAUGAGUUCAAGGCCAGCCUGGGCUACAGAGUGAGUUCAUGGCCAGCCUGAAUCUCAUAGCAAGACCUUGGCUCAAAAAAAAAAAAAAAAAAGAUUACAUAAGUCCCCUGGAUUCUUAGAUGUCCUGUUGGCAAAUACAAAAUUUACAAGUGCACUGGUGUCUUCCUUAUUCUCCAAGAGGGUCUGAGACAGCACAGUGUCACCUCAAUCA